AUAUAAAUAAGCUAAUUUAAGCUUUUAGGCCCAUACCCUAACCAUAGAACUAAAAUAUUCUUUUAUAUA
This 69-nucleotide transfer RNA is filed under the name Rediviva intermixta. RNAcentral's name for it is "tRNA-Met". The record is from RNAcentral. Lineage: Eukaryota; Metazoa; Arthropoda; Insecta; Hymenoptera; Melittidae.